RNAcentral lists this ribosomal RNA (699 nucleotides) under Staphylococcus pseudintermedius. RNAcentral describes it as "bacterial LSU rRNA". It matches the Rfam family "Bacterial large subunit ribosomal RNA", at positions 764 to 1483 of the family's 2925-position model. The record is from RNAcentral. Lineage: Bacteria; Bacillati; Bacillota; Bacilli; Caryophanales; Staphylococcaceae.
GAAUGGAGGACCGAACCGACUUACGUUGAAAAGUGAGCGGAUGAACUGAGGGUAGCGGAGAAAUUCCAAUCGAACUUGGAGAUAGCUGGUUCUCUCCGAAAUAGCUUUAGGGCUAGCCUCAAGUGAUGAUUAUUGGAGGUAGAGCACUGUUUGGAUUACCGAAUCCAGACAAACUCCGAACGCCAAUUUAUAUAACUAGGUAGUCAGAAUGUUGGUGAUAAGGUCCAUAUUCAUAAAGGAAACAGCCCAUACCAUCAGCGAUGGUCCUAAAAAAUUUAUUAAGAGGAAAAGGAUGUUGCGCUGCCCAGACAACUAGGCUCUUGGCCUAGAAGCACCCAUCCGUCGAAUACUGCGUUUUUGCCCCCUGUGGACGGUCCACUCCGCCGAAAGUGUAUCGCGGCUAAACAUAUUACCGAAGCUGUGGAUUGUCCUUUGGACAAUGGUAGGAGAGCGUUCUAAGGGCGUUGAAGCAUGAUCGCAAGGACAUGUGGAGCGCUUAGAAGUGAGAAUGCCGGUGUGAGUAGCGAAAGACGGGUGAGAAUCCCGUCCACCGAUUGACUAAGGUUUCCAGAGGAAGGCUCGUCCGCUCUGGGUUAGUCGGGUCCUAAGCUGAGGCCGACAGGCGUAGGCGAUGGAUAACAGGUUGAUAUUCCUGUACCACCAUUAUUCGUUUUAAGCGAUGGGGGGACGCAGUAGGAU